This 732-nucleotide ribosomal RNA is filed under the name uncultured bacterium. RNAcentral describes it as "bacterial SSU rRNA". It matches the Rfam family "Bacterial small subunit ribosomal RNA", at positions 9 to 719 of the family's 1533-position model. The record is from RNAcentral.
GAGUUUGAUCUUGGCUCGGAACGAACGCUGGCGGCGUGGAUAAGACAUGCAAGUCGAACGAGAACUUUCGCUGUAGCAAUACAGUGAAAGUUUUAGUGGCGAACGGGUGCGUAACACGUGGGCAAUCUGCCGAGAAGUGGGGGAUAGCUCGCCGAAAGGCGAAUUAAUACCGCAUAUGAUCAGGGAAGACAUCUUUCCGACAUCAAAGCCGGGGCAACCUGGCGCUUCUUGAUGAGCCCGCGGCCUAUCAGCUAGUUGGUGAGGUAACGGCUCACCAAGGCUAUGACGGGUAGCUGGUCUGAGAGGACGACCAGUCACACUGGAACUGAGACACGGUCCAGACACCUACGGGUGGCAGCAGUCGAGAAUUUUUCUCAAUGGGGGAAACCCUGAAGGAGCGACGCCGCGUGGAGGAUGAAGGUCUUCGGGUUGUAAACCCCUGUCAUUUGGGAACAAGUGCCAUACGUUAACUGCGUGUGGCUUGAUAGUACCAGAAGAGGAAGAGACGGCUAACUCUGUGCCAGCAGCCGCGGUAAUACAGAGGUCUCAAGCGUUGUUCGGAUUCAUUGGGCGUAAAGGGUGCGUAGGUGGCGCCGUAAGUCAGGUGUGAAAUUUCGGAGCUUAACUCCGAAACUGCAUUUGAUACUGCGGUGCUUGAGGACUGGAGAGGAGACUGGAAUUUACGGUGUAGCAGUGAAAUGCGUAGAGAUCGUAAGGAAGACCAGUGGCGAA